AACGUACGCUGGCGGCACGCCUAACACAUGCAAGUCGAACGAAGUAGCAAUACUUAGUGGCAGACGGGUGAGUAACAUGUGGGUAUCUGCCCUUUGGCCUGGAAUAACACGAGGAAACUUGUGCUAAUACCGGAUAAGUCUUUACGGAGAAAGCUUUAUGCACCAUUGGAUGAGCCCGCACUUGAUUAGUUUGUUGGUGGGGUAAUGGCCUACCAAGACUGUGAUCAAUAGCUGAUUUGAGAGGAUGAUCAGCCACAUUGGGACUGAGACACGGCCCAAACUCCUACGGGAGGCAGCAGUGGGGAAUCUUGCACAAUGGAGGAAACUCUGAUGCAGCGAUGCCGCGUGAGUGAAGAAGGCCCUUGGGUUGUAAAGCUCUUUCGUCGGGGAAGAAAAUGACUGUACCCGAAUAAGAAGGUCCGGCUAACUUCGUGCCAGCAGCCGCGGUAAUACGAAGGGACCUAGCGUAGUUCGGAAUUACUGGGCUUAAAGAGUUCGUAGGUGGUUGAAAAAGUUAGUGGUGAAAUCCCAGAGCUUAACUCUGGAACUGCCAUUAAAACUUUUCAGCUAGAGUAUGAUAGAGGAAAGCAGAAUUUCUAGUGUAGAGGUGAAAUUCGUAGAUAUUAGAAAGAAUACCAAUUGCGAAGGCAGCUUUCUGGAUCAUUACUGACACUGAGGAACGAAAGCAUGGGUAGCGAAGAGGAUUAGAUACCCUCGUAGUCCAUGCCGUAAACGAUGUGUGUUAGACGUUGGAAAUUUAUUUUCAGUGUCGCAGCGAAAGCGAUAAACACACCGCCUGGGGAGUACGACCGCAAGGUUAAAACUCAAAUGAAUUGACGGGGACCCGCACAAGUAGUGGAGCAUGUGGUUUAAUUCGAAGAUACGCGCAGAACCUUACCAACACUUGACAUGUUCGUCGCGACUCUAAGAGAUUAGAGUUUUCGGUUCGGCCGGACGAAACACAGGUGCUGCAUGGCUGUCGUCAGCUCGUGUCGUGAGAUGUUGGGUUAAGUCCCGCAACGAGCGCAACCCUCACUUUUAGUUGCCAUCAUUAAGUUGGGCACUCUGAAAGAACUGCCAGUGAUAAGCUGGAGGAAGGUGGGGAUGACGUCAAGUCCUCACGGCCCUUACGUGUUGGGCUACACACGUGCUACAAUGGUAUCUACAACAGGAAGCAAGACUGCGAGGUCAAGCAAAUCCUUAAAAGAUACCUCAGUUCGGAUUGCACUCUGCAACUCGAGUGCAUGAAGCUGGAAUUACUAGUAAUCGUGGAUCAGCGUGCCACGGUGAAUGCGUUCCCGGGUCU
RNAcentral lists this ribosomal RNA (1306 nucleotides) under uncultured bacterium. Its description in RNAcentral is "bacterial SSU rRNA". It matches the Rfam family "Bacterial small subunit ribosomal RNA", at positions 28 to 1381 of the family's 1533-position model. The record is from RNAcentral.